This 497-nucleotide ribosomal RNA is filed under the name uncultured bacterium. Its description in RNAcentral is "partial 16S ribosomal RNA". It matches the Rfam family "Bacterial small subunit ribosomal RNA", at positions 28 to 507 of the family's 1533-position model. The record is from RNAcentral.
GAUGAACGCUGGCGGCGUGCCUAAUACAUGCAAGUCGAGCGAACAGACGAGGAGCUUGCUCCUCUGACGUUAGCGGCGGACGGGUGAGUAACACGUGGAUAACCUACCUAUAAGACUGGGAUAACUUCGGGAAACCGGAGCUAAUACCGGAUAAUAUAUUGAACCGCAUGGUUCAAAAGUGAAAGACGGUUUUGCUGUCACUUAUAGAUGGAUCCGCGCCGCAUUAGCUAGUUGGUAAGGUAACGGCUUACCAAGGCAACGAUGCGUAGCCGACCUGAGAGGGUGAUCGGCCACACUGGAACUGAGACACGGUCCAGACUCCUACGGGAGGCAGCAGUAGGGAAUCUUCCGCAAUGGGCGAAAGCCUGACGGAGCAACGCCGCGUGAGUGAUGAAGGUCUUCGGAUCGUAAAACUCUGUUAUUAGGGAAGAACAAAUGUGUAAGUAACUAUGCACGUCUUGACGGUACCUAAUCAGAAAGCCACGGCUAAUUACGUG